GAUGAAGAACGCAGCAAAAUGCGAUAAGUAAUGUGAAUUGCAGAAUUCAGUGAAUCAUCGAAUCUUUGAACGCACAUUGCGCCCCUUGGUAUUCCAUGGGGCAUGCCUGUUCGAGCGUCAUUUGUACCUUCAAGCUUUGCUUGGUGUUGGGUGUUUGUCUCGCCUUUGCGUGUAGACUCGCCUUAAAAUAAUUGGCAGCCGGCGUAUUGAUUUCGGAGCGCAGUACAUCUCGCGCUUUGCACUCAUAACGACAGCGUCCAAAAGUACAUUUUACACUCUUGACCUCGGAUCAGGUAGGGAUACCCGCUGAACUUAAGCAUAUCAAUAAGCGGAGGA
RNAcentral lists this unclassified non-coding RNA (336 nucleotides) under soil metagenome. RNAcentral's name for it is "partial contains 5.8S ribosomal RNA, internal transcribed spacer 2, and large subunit ribosomal RNA". The stretch from base 1 to 120 matches the Rfam family "5.8S ribosomal RNA", at positions 35 to 154 of the family's 154-position model. The record is from RNAcentral.